UAUCUGCAGUCGAGCGACUGAUUAGAAGCUUGCUUCUAUGACGUUAGCGGCGGACGGGUGAGUAACACGUGGGCAACCUGCCUGUAAGACUGGGAUAACUUCGGGAAACCGAAGCUAAUACCGGAUAGGAUCUUCUCCUUCAUGGGAGAUGAUUGAAAGAUGGUUUCGGCUAUCACUUACAGAUGGGCCCGCGGUGCAUUAGCUAGUUGGUGAGGUAACGGCUCACCAAGGCAACGAUGCAUAGCCGACCUGAGAGGGUGAUCGGCCACACUGGGACUGAGACACGGCCCAGACUCCUACGGGAGGCAGCAGUAGGGAAUCUUCCGCAAUGGACGAAAGUCUGACGGAGCAACGCCGCGUGAGUGAUGAAGGCUUUCGGGUCGUAAAACUCUGUUGUUAGGGAAGAACAAGUACAAGAGUAACUGCUUGUACCUUGACGGUACCUAACCAGAAAGCCACGGCUAACUACGUGCCAGCAGCCGCGGUAAUACGUAGGUGGCAAGCGUUAUCCGGAAUUAUUGGGCGUAAAGCGCGCGCAGGCGGUUUCUUAAGUCUGAUGUGAAAGCCCACGGCUCAACCGUGGAGGGUCAUUGGAAACUGGGGAACUUGAGCGCAGAAGAGAAAAGCGGAAUUCCACGUGUAGCGGUGAAAUGCGUAGAGAUGUGGAGGAACACCAGUGGCGAAGGCGGCUUUUUGGUCUGUAACUGACGCUGAGGCGCGAAAGCGUGGGGAGCAAACAGGAUUAGAUACCCUGGUAGUCCACGCCGUAAACGAUGAGUGCUAAGUGUUAGAGGGUUUCCGCCCUUUAGUGCUGCAGCUAACGCAUUAAGCACUCCGCCUGGGGAGUACGGUCGCAAGACUGAAACUCAAAGGAAUUGACGGGGGGCCCGCACAAGCGGUGGAGCAUGUGGUUUUAAUUCGAAGCAACGCGAAGAACCUUACCAGGUCUUGACAUCCUCUGACAACUCUAGAGAUAGAGCGUUCCCCUUCGG
This 992-nucleotide ribosomal RNA is filed under the name uncultured bacterium. Its description in RNAcentral is "bacterial SSU rRNA". It matches the Rfam family "Bacterial small subunit ribosomal RNA", at positions 52 to 1024 of the family's 1533-position model. The record is from RNAcentral.